ACUCUAUAUUAAAUGAACUGCCCCCUUCAGUGGUGAGGAGGGAAAAAUACCGCAUUUAGCGCCACGGUGUUUGGACCAUUUGUGUUCUGGUUGUACAUUGGAUCUCAUGUCACCUCAACAACUCUGCUGCUCCAGCGCCGGUUCACACCGUUAGCUAGCUAGGUAUUUUUGGUUUGGUUAAUUGAGCUGGACAGAAAUCCUGCUUCGUUCUCCACAGAGAAACCGCAUACAUGCACUUUUAGUUCCUGGGGGUUUUCACCGCUGUUAAGUAAUGAGGGCAAAUAUGAAAGGAGAUUGAUGUUCACAGACUUUUCUGGAAGUUGUAAAUAAAAGCUCGGAUCUCGUAAGGCUUCAGCUUCUCCCGGACGAGUGCACGGAACUUUUCGGGGUUAUGGUUGACAUGUUAAAGACUCGUCAGUGUUUGUUCUGUGUCCGCACUUUCUUCAGCGUGACGUCCAAGUUAUGGAGUUUAUUUCUGUACAUCCUCAGGAAACCUCUGAGAACGAUUAUUCAAUAUCAGACGGUGCGAUAUGACAAUUUACCCUUGUCACCGUUGUCUAGAACCAGACUUAAUGCAGUAAAGCGGAAGAUUCUAGUUUUAGACCUCGAUGAGACGUUGAUUCACUCUCAUCAUGACGGGGUUCUGAGGCCAUCAGUACGGCCUGGCACGCCACCAGACUUUAUCCUUAAAGUUGUUAUAGACAAGCACCCAGUCAGAUUCUUUGUGCAUAAAAGGCCCCAUGUGGACUUCUUCUUGGAGGUUGUCAGUCAGUGGUACGAGCUCGUAGUGUUCACUGCUAGUAUGGAAAUCUACGGAUCUGCGGUAGCGGACAAGCUGGACAACAACAAAGGCAUCUUGAAGCGCAGAUACUACAGACAGCAUUGCACGCUGGAUCUGGGUAGUUAUAUAAAAGACCUGUCAAUCAUACACGGUGAUCUUUCCAGUAUAGCAAUUCUUGACAACUCUCCUGCAGCGUAUCGCAGUCAUCCAGGUAACAUAUCAAUCUAUUGUCUAUCUACCCAUUACUUACUUUAUUUAUUUUAUUUUUGUUUAAAUAUAGGAGAGCAUUUGUGUGAUUGUGUGUGUGGGUGAUGGUGUGUGGGUGACUGUGUGCACAUAGUCAGUUUAGCCUGAACAUUACAGCAAAAACGAUAUCCUUUUUCCAUUUUUAAGACCAGUUUGUCCAUAUGCACAGGGUUUUCUGGUCAUCACAUGAUCUUGUUAAUUCCUCACAAGGAUUAGAAACUAUUAAAUGAGUUCAUUGUGUUUAACAGUACUGGAGUUUAUAAUUUAUGUCAAAGCAAAACCAUAACAAAGCAUAUCGAUGGUUUUUAACGUGACUUAAUGGAUUUCAGCAAAAUGAGUAGCUUUUUGAUGUGAUAUCUCUUAUCAAGCUCCAUGUCGCACUACCUGCUAGCUUAAAAUACUCCUCACUUAUUCACUGGGCACAAAGUCACACAAAGACAUGGCUAUUAGUGGUGGUCUGUUCAGUUUGUUUCUUAAAUAUACUAGUUUUGUGAUUUUACUGUGAUUUCCCUAUAUAUAGGCUAAUCUAUAUUUAAAAGGGUAUGAUGGGAACCAAAACUCACCAUUUAUCACACUACUGGUUCCUUAGCCAACUACAACUUUAAUAUCAGAGCUAUCCUGGUUUUAAUAAUGCAAUACCCAUAAAAUCAUGGUUCAGUGAUCCCGGUGAUACAGCACUUCUUAACCUUCUGCCAAUGUUGGAUGCACUAAGAUUCACAGCUGACGUUCGGUCCGUCCUUAGUCGAAACCUGCACCAGCAUCAAC
Molecule: RNA transcript, 1792 nt
Organism: Hemibagrus wyckioides
Lineage: Eukaryota; Metazoa; Chordata; Actinopteri; Siluriformes; Bagridae
Gene: ctdnep1b
Gene name: CTD nuclear envelope phosphatase 1b
Exons: 7
Source: RefSeq, a predicted model, not a curated record